GCAAAAGAUGUCCAUAUAGAUAUUAGCUAUUUAUUUUGUGGCAAGUUUGGACAUUGGGAGUAUAAUUGUAAGAAUAAUCUUGCAAGUUUGAAGUAGGGUGCAAGUACAGCACCAAAAGGUAUGUAUAUGAUACAAAUCUAUUUUUUAUUGAGUGGCUCAGACUCUGAUACUUGAAUAUUAGAUACCACCUGUGGAUCACAUAUUUGUAAUUCAUUAUAGCGAAUACAGAAUAUCAAAGGUCUGAAAAGAGGUGACCUCGAGCUCUAUGGCACA
RNAcentral lists this long non-coding RNA (273 nucleotides) under Elaeis guineensis (African oil palm). Its description in RNAcentral is "long non-coding RNA (EGUI_LNC053039)". The record is from RNAcentral. Lineage: Eukaryota; Viridiplantae; Streptophyta; Magnoliopsida; Arecales; Arecaceae.